This 286-nucleotide ribosomal RNA is filed under the name uncultured Glomus. RNAcentral's name for it is "partial 18S ribosomal RNA". It matches the Rfam family "Eukaryotic small subunit ribosomal RNA", at positions 1434 to 1718 of the family's 1831-position model. Lineage: Eukaryota; Fungi; Glomeromycota; Glomeromycetes; Glomerales; Glomeraceae. The record is from RNAcentral.
CCGAUGGAAGUUUGAGGCAAUAACAGGUCUGUGAUGCCCUUAGAUGUUCUGGGCCGCACGCGCGUUACACUGAUGAAGUCAUCGAGUUCAUUCCUUUAUCGGAAGAUAUGGGUAAUCUUUUGAAACUUCAUCGUGCUGGGGAUAGAGCAUUGCAACUAUUGCUCUUGAACGAGGAAACCCCUAGUAAGUACAAGUCACUAGCUUGUGCUGAUUACGUCCCUGCCCUUUGUACACACCGCCCGUCGCUACUACCGAUUGAAUGGCUUUAAUGAGGCCCUCUGAUUGA